AGAGUUUGAUUAUGGCUCAGGAUGAACGCUGGCGGCGUGCUUAACACAUGCAAGUCGAACGGGGUUAUCAUUUUUGAAGCGAUUAGCUUGCUAAGAGUGGAAAAGUUGAUAACUUAGUGGCGGACGGGUGAGUAACGCGUGGGUAACCUGCCUUACACAGGGGGAUAACACUUAGAAAUAGGUGCUAAUACCGCAUAAGCGCACAGUCCCGCAUGGGACAGAGUGAAAAACAUUAGUGGUGUAAGAUGGACCCGCGUCUGAUUAGCUGGUUGGCGGGGUAACGGCCCACCAAGGCGACGAUCAGUAGCCGGCCUGAGAGGGUGGACGGCCACAUUGGGACUGAGACACGGCCCAAACUCCUACGGGAGGCAGCAGUGGGGGAUAUUGGACAAUGGGGGAAACCCUGAUCCAGCGACGCCGCGUGAGUGAAGAAGUAUUUCGGUAUGUAAAGCUCUAUCAGCACGGAAGAAAGAAAUGACAGUACCUGAGUAAAAAGCCCCGGCUAACUACGUGC
Molecule: ribosomal RNA, 514 nt
Filed under: uncultured bacterium
Lineage: Bacteria
Description: bacterial SSU rRNA
Rfam family: Bacterial small subunit ribosomal RNA
Source: RNAcentral